GUUUUAGUGCGUGCGACUGGCCGCCAUGUUUGUGAGGGCGGGAAUCUGCGGCGCUGUGUAAACACUACGGGAGGAGGGGGGUAUUUGAGACUGAUUUUGUGGUAUUUUUCGAUCGAAAAGUGCUAAUCUUUUUUGCUCACGGCAUUCUUUGGAAUGUGUAGAUUGUGGAACAAGUGCUGAAAUAUGCUUAUCAAUUGUAAUUUGGCUACGUUAGCCUUAGACAUGUUGCACUGUCGACGCUGAUGAAGAAUAGGCGGCACCAAAGGUGGCUGGAACAACCCCAGUGCCGCACAGUUCUGCGGGAUAUUCCGGCACCUGCUCCACCGCUGCGGCGUCCGGCCCGGCAGCACAGGGAAAGUGGCAGCCCUCGACCCGACCAGCAUCCUGGCAGUCGGUCACACGACCAGCGGACGAGGAGCCAGCCUUACUACCUCGGCCUCCACCACCUCAGACAACGGUGCCACGGCACUCCACAUCAUCACGGAGCACGACUUCCAGCCUGGGCUGUCGUCUGGUGGGCAACAUCGUCACCUACAUCGCAGGGUUCGUGGUGAAGAAGGCGCUCGACUCUGUCAGCUGUAGCACCUGUCAGGAGGCCCUGGUGAGCGACAUCCAGCCGGACGACAUGACACAGCUUUACCACCUCUUCAUCAUCUCUGCCAGAUGAGCUAAGGUGGGGACGGGUUACAUGCCUGGGAUCUGACUGAGACCCGCUCAUACCCUGCCGAAGUGUUGGUGAUUUCAGCGGUCAGCUGUCUCUAGCCGGUGUCAGUGAGUCGCGGCCAGCUGCCGCUGGAGUGGGUAUCUACCGUCGAUAGCUGCUGUGUGGCGGAUAGCGUGGAUUUGGAUGGACACUUCAUAUUAAUGAACAGAUCAAUGUCUGGCCGAUAAAAGACGUAUUUUGUCGAUGAUUGCUUAGUGACUGAGUGGGUCCACUGGCGACCAAUGCAGUGGGCGCUGGGUUAACGCCUCGCCUCUUGUGACCGUGUCGAUAUGUAGCACUGUUAAUUGCCGAUUCGUUGCCGGCCGUCUCUGCUCCGUGGCUGGCUGAUCCGGCACAAACUGGUGUUCGUGGCUGUAGGCGCGGCUACAGUUACACUAGCUCGCCACGUGCCUGUGCGACUAUCGUCGGUGCUGUCUGCAAGGGCGAUGUCGGUGCCUGUAGGGGGCGCGGAUUGAUUCAAAGUGAGGAAUGGGUCAUCGGAGCUCGGGUCAGGUCAUGUUCGGCUAAAAUAAGCGGAUUUUGCGAUUUGCCGCAUCCGGGUGAAUUUCCUUGCCUUCUAGUGCAUGUUUAUGCAUUUUACAUGCGUUUUUUUUUAGUGUUGAUGUCUAGAUAACGUGCAUUUGCCUCGAGGUCAAGGCUGCGCUUCAUAUGGGCAGUUUUCGGAGCAUCUUGCUCAUUUUAUUCGUAAUCCUUAAUUAUGUUUGCGGAUUUGUGCCCGCAAAUCAUUUUUUAAAGUAAGAUUGACACGGGAUUCGAGAUCGGCGCCCAUAAAUACACUUCACAUGACC
This 1512-nucleotide unclassified non-coding RNA is filed under the name Amphibalanus amphitrite. Its description in RNAcentral is "uncharacterized LOC122379402, transcript variant X2". Lineage: Eukaryota; Metazoa; Arthropoda; Thecostraca; Balanomorpha; Balanidae. The record is from RNAcentral.